RNAcentral lists this non-coding RNA (21 nucleotides) under Arabidopsis thaliana (thale cress). Lineage: Eukaryota; Viridiplantae; Streptophyta; Magnoliopsida; Brassicales; Brassicaceae. The record is from RNAcentral.
AUGGUGAAUCACGUUCCUUAC